This 520-nucleotide ribosomal RNA is filed under the name uncultured Glomus. Its description in RNAcentral is "SSU rRNA". It matches the Rfam family "Eukaryotic small subunit ribosomal RNA", at positions 569 to 1089 of the family's 1831-position model. The record is from RNAcentral. Lineage: Eukaryota; Fungi; Glomeromycota; Glomeromycetes; Glomerales; Glomeraceae.
AGCAGCCGCGGUAAUUCCAGCUCCAAUAGCGUAUAUUAAAGUUGUUGCAGUUAAAAGCUCGUAGUUGAAUUUCGGGGUUAGUAGGUUGGUCAUGCCUCUGGUAUGUACUGGUCUCACUGAUUCCUCCUUCCUGAUGAACCUUAAUGCCAUUAAUUUGGUGUUUUGGGGAAUUUGGACUGUUACUUUGAAAAAAUUAGAGUGUUUAAAGCAAGCUAACGCUUGAAUACAUUAGCAUGGAAUAAUGAAAUAGGACGUUCGAUCCUAUUUUGUUGGUUUCUAGGAUUGACGUAAUGAUUAAUAGGGAUAGUUGGGGGCAUUAGUAUUCAAUUGUCAGAGGUGAAAUUCUUGGAUUUAUUGAAGACUAACUACUGCGAAAGCAUUUGCCAAGGAUGUUUUCAUUAAUCAAGAACGAAAGUUAGGGGAUCGAAGACGAUCAGAUACCGUCGUAGUCUUAACCAUAAACUAUGCCGACUAGGGAUCGGAUGAUGUUAAUUUUUUUCAAUGACUCAUUCGGCGCCUU